GCAAGUCGAGCGGUAACAGGAGAAGCUUGCUUCUCGCUGACGAGCGGCGGACGGGUGAGUAAUACUUAGGAAUCUACCUAGUAGUGGGGGAUAGCACGGGGAAACUCGUAUUAAUACCGCAUACGACCUACGGGAGAAAGGGGGCAGUUUACUGCUCUCGCUAUUAGAUGAGCCUAAGUCGGAUUAGCUAGAUGGUGGGGUAAAGGCCUACCAUGGCGACGAUCUGUAGCUGGUCUGAGAGGAUGAUCAGCCACACCGGGACUGAGACACGGCCCGGACUCCUACGGGAGGCAGCAGUGGGGAAUAUUGGACAAUGGGGGAAACCCUGAUCCAGCCAUGCCGCGUGUGUGAAGAAGGCCUUUUGGUUGUAAAGCACUUUAAGCAGUGAAGAAGACUCCAUGGUUAAUACCCAUGGACGAUGACAUUAGCU
RNAcentral lists this ribosomal RNA (430 nucleotides) under Listeria monocytogenes. RNAcentral describes it as "bacterial SSU rRNA". It matches the Rfam family "Bacterial small subunit ribosomal RNA", at positions 57 to 480 of the family's 1533-position model. The record is from RNAcentral. Lineage: Bacteria; Bacillati; Bacillota; Bacilli; Caryophanales; Listeriaceae.